AUUGAACGCUGGCGGCAGGCUUAACACAUGCAAGUCGAGCGGUAACAGAGAGAAGCUUGCUUCUCUGCUGACGAGCGGCGGACGGGUGAGUAAUGCCUAGGAAUCUGCCUAGUAGUGGGGGAUAACUUGCCGAAAGGUAAGCUAAUACCGCAUACGUCCUACGGGAGAAAGUAGGGGACCUUCGGGCCUUUCGCUAUUAGAUGAGCCUAGGUCGGAUUAGUUAGUUGGUGAGGUAAUGGCUCACCAAGACCGCGAUCCGUAACUGGUCUGAGACGAUGAUCAGUCACACUGGAACUGAGACACGGUCCAGACUCCUACGGGAGGCAGCAGUGGGGAAUAUUGGACAAUGGGGGGAACCCUGAUCCAGCCAUGCCGCGUGUGUGAAGAAGGUCUUAGGAUUGUAAAGAACUUUAAGUUGGGAGGAAGAGCAGUUAACUAAUAUUUGACUGUUUUGACGUUACCGACAGAAUAAGCACCGACUAACUUCGUGCCAGCCGCCGCGGUAA
This 506-nucleotide ribosomal RNA is filed under the name uncultured bacterium. Its description in RNAcentral is "partial 16S ribosomal RNA". It matches the Rfam family "Bacterial small subunit ribosomal RNA", at positions 30 to 523 of the family's 1533-position model. The record is from RNAcentral.